Felis catus (domestic cat) is the source of this 1721-nucleotide long non-coding RNA. RefSeq lists it as uncharacterized. The record is from RefSeq and is a predicted model, not a curated record. The transcript has 2 exons. Lineage: Eukaryota; Metazoa; Chordata; Mammalia; Carnivora; Felidae.
UCAAUCUAGAGAGUGUAAUGCUAAGAGAAAUACCAUAUGAUUUCACUCAUAUGUGGAAAUUUAAUGAACAAAACACAUGAACAAAGAAAAAAACAGAAAAAAAGGCUCAACAAAUAAUUGUUUAAUAGAUUACUUAUCGGCGUUAAAAUCUUUUAACUCAUCUCAAGAUCCCCUGUGGUGAAAGAUAGUAAUUACAAUGCACAAACACCUACACAUGGAUGAAGAAAGGCUGUGAAUCGAGUCCCUGGAAAGUUUCUUUCUGCUGGGUUCAAACACAUUUUCCUACUUGAAAUUUGCUACACAGAGACAGGAUAUCAUCUCUAUUCCCCCACCUAUUUUGGCAAACGGAUCAUAUAGGUUUUAUUUUUUAAACAAUUUAUCCUAACAAAGUUCCACGAUAUCAAAACAAACCAACAGUGCUUAAUAAUGACAUCAUAGCGAGAUUUUCUUUAUUUUAUGCUUUAUUCAGAGUGAAAAAUUCAGCAGGAAAAAAAGUAUUUUAAAAACUUGUCUAUUUUAUUCUAGUUAUCUAAAUAACAGACUAAUACUAGAAGAAAAGUUCUCCAUUAUUCAGUAAUCGUUGCUUUUUUACAGAACAAUUAGAUUAACGUGAGCAAAAUGAUCUUUUUCAAUGGCAUGUUUUUGUGCAAGAAAUUUCAUCAGAAACAGAAAUCACAUAGGCCAUAUUCUAGAGACUGUGCUCAUUUCGAUGGGACGGAUGGUGAUGGGGGAGCAAAAGGGAGGUCAGAGAAGGAGGCGAGAGGACAUUGUCCUGCCUCUCUUGAGGACCAAUUGUAUAAGCCCUGGGACCCAGGUUGACUUACCUAUGCCUGAAACAAGCCAGUGUUUGAGACUCCAUCUUUCCUUCCUGUUUAAUUAAUACCACCACAAUACUUGAGCAGUGUAGAACCUCCCCCACCAUCUCAGCACCAAGACUUAAUUUUUAUUACCAGUUUACAGUAAAAUUUAAUUGGAGUACCUUACACAUUAAGGCUUUUGAUUAACAUAUUGCUGAAGUGGAGGUCUUUUAAUUAUUCAUCCAUUUAUUAAUAUAACAGUUACCUUAUGCCAGGCAUAGUCCCAUAGCAGAGACAGGUGACCCAGACAGUUUGGAAAGGCCUGGGCUGGGGCUUACUCCUUGAGAAACUGGUUUUAUCCAUCUUUGAAUUCCCAGUACCAAGCUAGAUGCCUGAUAUGGAAAUUACCUAAGUGUUUGUGGACUCCUGGAACGAGUGUUAUGGGAGCCCAGACAAGGAGCACCUAAAUGAAGGAGGAAGACAGAAGUGAGGGAAGACUUCCUAGGGGAGGGGAUGUAAUCUGAGUCUUAAAAGGUAAGUUGGCCAGGGUGGAAGAAACCCAUAUAAAGGCACUUGAGCAAUGAUGUACAGAAAGGGAGGCCCUAAUUCAAGAUCUAUGUGUCCUUCAAACACACACACACACACACACACACGCACACACACACGCACACACACGCGGGCUGACAUGCAGGACACAGAAGUAUGCUCUCUUUGCAAAUAGCAAUAACUAUGCUACUCUCGGUUUCAAGGACAUUGCAAUAAUUAAUGUGUGACAGAGAUGGGCUUUGUUAAGCUUGAGAAUGCCAGAGUUCUUCGGGGGAAAUUGACAAUACUGUGAUCUAUUGUGAUAUUUUUCACACUAUAUAAUUUGAGCUUGUAACUGCUUAACCAAUUAAAGAUUAAGCAGGCAGCCCUUACAUGCUA